Molecule: ribosomal RNA, 253 nt
Filed under: uncultured bacterium
Lineage: Bacteria
Description: partial 16S ribosomal RNA
Rfam family: Bacterial small subunit ribosomal RNA
Source: RNAcentral
UACGUAGGGGGCAAGCGUUGUCCGGAAUCAUUGGGCGUAAAGAGCGUGUAGGCGGCUCGGUAAGUCCGCUCUGAAAGCCCGGGGCUCAACCCCGGGAGGCGGGCGGAUACUGUCGGGCUAGAGUCCGGAAGAGGCGAGUGGAAUUCCUGGUGUAGCGGUGAAAUGCGCAGAUAUCAGGAAGAACACCCGUGGCGAAGGCGGCUCUCUGGGACGGUACUGACGCUGAGACGCGAAAGCGUGGGGAGCAAACAGG